RNAcentral lists this ribosomal RNA (292 nucleotides) under uncultured bacterium. RNAcentral's name for it is "partial 16S ribosomal RNA". The record is from RNAcentral.
GGACUACAAGGGUAUCUAAUCCUGUUUGAUCCCCUUGCUCUCGCGCCUCAGCGUCAGGUCAUAGCUAGAGAACCGCUUUCGCCACCGGUGUUCUUCCACAUAUCUACGCAUUUCACCGCUACACGUGGAAUUCCGUUCUCUCCGCCAUCCCUCGAGAUCUAUAGUUUCAAAUGCAGUUCCGAAAUUGAGCCCCGGAAUUUCACAUCUGACUUAUACAUCCGCCUACGCGCCCUUUACGCCCAAUAAUUCCGAUUAAUGCUUGCACCCUCCGUAUUACCGCGGCGGCUGGCAC